GACGAACGCUGGCGGCAUGCCUAAUACAUGCAAGUCGAGCGAACAGACGAAGUGCUUGCACUUCUGACGUUAGCGGCGAACGGGUGAGUAACACGUAAGGAAUCUACCUAUAAGCGGGGGAUAACAUUCGGAAACGGGUGCUAAUACCGCAUAAUAUCUUCUUCCGCAUGGAAGAAGAUUGAAAGACGGCUCUGCUGUCACUUAUAGAUGACCUUGCGGUGCAUUAGUUAGUUGGUGGGGUAACGGCCUACCAAGACGAUGAUGCAUAGCCGACCUGAGAGGGUGAUCGGCCACAUUGGGACUGAGACACGGCCCAAACUCCUACGGGAGGCAGCAGUAGGGAAUCUUCCGCAAUGGGCGAAAGCCUGACGGAGCAAUGCCGCGUGAGUGAAGAAGGCCUUCGGGUCGUAAAACUCUGUUAUAAGAGAAGAACAAAUUGUAGAGUAACUGCUACAGUCUUGACGGUAUCUUAUCAGAAAGCCACGGCUAACUACGUGCCAGCCGCCGCCGUAACAC
This 516-nucleotide ribosomal RNA is filed under the name uncultured bacterium. Its description in RNAcentral is "bacterial SSU rRNA". It matches the Rfam family "Bacterial small subunit ribosomal RNA", at positions 28 to 526 of the family's 1533-position model. The record is from RNAcentral.